This 465-nucleotide ribosomal RNA is filed under the name Vreelandella stevensii. RNAcentral's name for it is "partial 16S ribosomal RNA". It matches the Rfam family "Bacterial small subunit ribosomal RNA", at positions 338 to 795 of the family's 1533-position model. The record is from RNAcentral. Lineage: Bacteria; Pseudomonadati; Pseudomonadota; Gammaproteobacteria; Oceanospirillales; Halomonadaceae.
CCUACGGGUGGCAGCAGUGGGGAAUAUUGGACAAUGGGCGAAAGCCUGAUCCAGCCAUGCCGCGUGUGUGAAGAAGGCCUUCGGGUUGUAAAGCACUUUCAGUCGGGAAGAAAGCCUUGGGGCGAAUACCCUCGAGGAAGGACAGCACCCACAGAAGAAGCACCGGCUAACUCCGUGCCAGCAGCCGCGUUAAUACGGAGGGUGCUAGCGUUAAUCGGAAUUACUGGGCGUAAAGCGCGCGUAGGCGGUCUGAUAAGCCGGUUGUGAAAGCCCCGGGCUCAACCUGGGAACGGCAUCCGGAACUGUCAGGCUAGAGUGCAGGAGAGGAAGGUAGAAUUCCCGGUGUAGCGGUGAAAUGCGUAGAGAUCGGGAGGAAUACCAGUGGCGAAGGCGGCCUUCUGGACUGACACUGACGCUGAGGUGCGAAAGCGUGGGUAGCAAACAGGAUUAGAUACCCUAGUAGUC